GGCCGUAUAGCCUAAAACCAAGGCAUCUGAAUUGCAAUCAGACCAUGUACCUGUACUACUGCCG
Molecule: transfer RNA, 64 nt
Filed under: Paraleonnates uschakovi
Lineage: Eukaryota; Metazoa; Annelida; Polychaeta; Phyllodocida; Nereididae
Description: tRNA-Ala
Source: RNAcentral